UCGAGCGAGAUUUUUUCCUGUAGCAAUACAGGGAAACGUCUAGCGGCGAACGGGUGCUUAACACGUGGGCAAUCUGCCGAGAAGUGGGGGAUAGCUCGCCGAAAGGCGAAUUAAUACCGCAUGUGAUCAGAGUGGACAUCCAUUCAAAAUCAAAGUCGGGGCAACCUGACGCUUCUUGAGGAGCCCGCGGCCUAUCAGCUAGUUGGUGAGGUAACGGCCCACCAAGGCUUUGACGGGUAGCUGGUCUGAGAGGACGACCAGCCACACUGGGACUGAGACACGGCCCAGACACCUACGGGUGGCAGCAGUCGAGAAUUUUUCUCAAUGGGGGAAACCCUGAAGGAGCGACGCCGCGUGGAGGAUGAAGGUCUUCGGGUUGUAAACUCCUGUCAUUUGGGAACAAUGCGUAAAUAUUAACUGUAUUUGCGUUGAUAGUACCAGAAGAGGAAGAGACGGCUAACUCUGUGCCAGCAGCCGCGGUAAUACAGAGGUCUCAAGCGUUGUUCGGAUUCAUUGGGCGUAAAGGGUGCGUAGGCGGCGCGGUAAGUCGGGUGUGAAAUCUCGGGGCUUAACUCCGAAACUGCAUUCGAUACUACCGUGCUUGAGGACUGGAGAGGAGACUGGAAUUUACGGUGUAGCGGUGAAAUGCGUAGAUAUCGUAAGGAAGACCAGUGGCGAAGGCGGGUCUCUGGACAGUUCCUGACGCUGAGGCACGAAGGCCAGGGGAGCAAACGGGAUUAGAUACCCCGGUAGUCCUGGCAGUAAACGGUGCACGUUUGGUGUGGGAGGAUUCGACCCC
This 799-nucleotide ribosomal RNA is filed under the name uncultured Verrucomicrobiae bacterium. RNAcentral's name for it is "bacterial SSU rRNA". It matches the Rfam family "Bacterial small subunit ribosomal RNA", at positions 62 to 839 of the family's 1533-position model. Lineage: Bacteria; Pseudomonadati; Verrucomicrobiota; Verrucomicrobiia. The record is from RNAcentral.